GUAAUAUAAAAUACGGUCUCUUAGCUUUUAACUAAAAAAACUAAGAGACGUCUCUUAGUUUUUUUAGUUAAAAGCUAAAAGACCGUAUCUUAUAUUAC
This 98-nucleotide microRNA precursor is filed under the name Brassica oleracea var. oleracea. RNAcentral describes it as "MIR9563 microRNA precursor family". It matches the Rfam family "MIR9563 microRNA precursor family". The record is from Rfam by way of RNAcentral. Lineage: Eukaryota; Viridiplantae; Streptophyta; Magnoliopsida; Brassicales; Brassicaceae.